Molecule: long non-coding RNA, 1475 nt
Organism: Oncorhynchus tshawytscha (Chinook salmon)
Lineage: Eukaryota; Metazoa; Chordata; Actinopteri; Salmoniformes; Salmonidae
Exons: 2
Source: RefSeq, a predicted model, not a curated record
CAUACUUGUGUAUAUAUAUUGUGUGUAUAUUUGUAUUGAAUCCAUUUUAGAAUAAGGCUGUAACGUAACAAAAUGUGGAAAAAGUCAAGGGGUCUGAAUUCUUUCUGAAGUCACUAUACAUGUCCCACUGUCCUGCCAGACAUACAGCAUACCCAUUCCAUCUACACCCUAGCCCCUACACCCUAGCCCCUACUCCCUAGCUCCUACUCCCUAGCCCCUACUCUGUAGCCCUUAAUCCCUAGCCCUUACACCCCUCACUCCCCAUCCCAGGGAGCACCUCUUGUUGGCAGGACAGUGUAAAGAUAUAUUUUUGUUCUAAAUGUUGUCGUACUUCUGUCGUUUGUCUCAGAGUCACUAACAUCUCUCACUAAAAGGGGAACUCCAGAGAUGGGAUCUUUGGUCCAGAAAUGGGUUGUGCCCCAGAAAUGCCCAGCCCAGAAAUGCCCAUCCCAGAAAUGCCCAUCCCAGCUAAACCACUGGCCAAGUUCCAACAUGACUGUACUGCAGAAGCCUUCCAACAAAGCCAGGAUGUAGUGGGUGUAGUGUUUAACUUAUCAGCUGACCACAUCAUAUUAUAUAACCUUCUGAUGUCCCACUGAGCAGUCAAUUAUGUAAUGCAACAUCUGCAAUGUAGUCACCCUUUUCCCUAUAUAGUGGGGCUCCCGAGUGGCGCAGUCGUCUAAAGCAAGAGGCGUCACUACAGUCCCUGGUUCACAUCUGGCCGUGACUGGGAGUCCCAUAGGGCGGCGCACAAUUGGCCCAGCAUCGUCCGGAUUUGGCCGGGGUAGGCUGUCAUUGUAAAUAAGAAUUUGUUCAUAACUGACUGAAAUAAAGGUUAAAUAAGGGUUAAAUAAAAAUGUAAAAUAAAAUAGUGCACUACCCCAUGAGGGUCUGGUUAAAAGUAGUGCACUAUGUAGGGAAUAGGGUGCCAUUUGAGAUGCUGUCUUGGUCAGUUAAAGGGGGAGGGACUUAUGAAGAGGAGGAGGACCUAGAUGGUCUGAGACAUAAUGUUGUCGUUCCAGACUGACUACAUUACAGAUGUACUCCAACCAAACACUUCCUGUGGGCCACAUCUUUGACUGCUCAGUGGGACAUCAGAAGAGUAGCGAGUGAUUUAGCUGGGCUGUUUGACUAACUGGGCCCAGUCCCAAAUGGACCCUUAAACCCUAAAGAGGGUUUAUGCACUUGAGGUGAUCUAAGAGGAUUUGACAGGUAAUGUAUAAUUAAUCUGGUAGUAUCUUCACUUUGCCCUCUCACAUCACCACACGUAGAUAAGGGCAUAAAGUUCAUUUGGGAUUGGGUCCUAGCCUUUAGGGGACUAAAGACUCCUUCACCUGGUGAGCGAUGGCGGCUGACAGAGACAACCUCAGAGAUAUCUUGUUAGCUCCUUGGGUUUGGAAUCAGAAUGACUAAUGAGUAGAGAACUCCCAAACUGUUGAUUUCUGUUAAUAAUAAAGAAGCUGUUUGUUUUCCUC